Neofelis nebulosa (Clouded leopard) is the source of this 548-nucleotide long non-coding RNA. RefSeq lists it as uncharacterized. Lineage: Eukaryota; Metazoa; Chordata; Mammalia; Carnivora; Felidae. The transcript is spliced from 2 exons. The record is from RefSeq and is a predicted model, not a curated record.
AGUACACAAACAAGGUAAAUUCAACAAUUUGACCCAAAUGAGUUAGGUCACCCUCAUCAUACUUCAUAAUAGACAACUGAGUCAUAAAACAGAGAUAAAAGGACAGUGGUGAAAGGGGCCCAAAAUUUUGAGUCAAGAAGACUGGGGUCAAAUCCUGCCUCAGUUAGGUUCCAGCUUUCUUCCUCCCUUAAACUCUGAGCUUCCAGUUCUUCAUCUGUCAAGCAUGUACGAUGAUAGCAAUGCCUGUAUCUUCAACAGUAUUAUUGCAAAAGUUUCUACAAAGAGAGAGCUCGACAUAUCUAAGCCAUGUGAUGUGAAGAAAAUGGAGAAAACAAACAAAAAUCACCUCCGUUCCAGUUCUGGUUCAGCUUCUGACAGAAGGCCAGGAAACUGAGAAAGAACCAACCCUAAGAAGGAUGAGAGAAGCACAGUCCACCAGGCUAACACUGAGCAGCAAACUUAAAGACCACCAGUAGAAAUUCAGACUGAGGUCUUGUAGAGGGCAUAGGGCGUGGGUUCGUCAUUAAUAAAGCAGUAAAGACCCAGGA